AAACAGACCGAAUCACAAAUCGCCUGAAAUGAACAUGAGAGUUUUCUACAAGAGUCUGUUGUUUUUACUGGGGUUUUUCUCAGUUCAGACGAAGACAGAAAUAGAAGUGAAUGUAGCAGCAUGGGGAAAAGCCGAUCAGUCGACAACAUAUGAAAACUGUGAUGCUCAAAGAGCACUGGAUGGGAUAAACUACACUUUUACUCAUACAGAAGAAAAGA
Long non-coding RNA from Carassius auratus (goldfish), 218 nucleotides. RefSeq lists it as uncharacterized. The record is from RefSeq and is a predicted model, not a curated record. The transcript is spliced from 3 exons. Lineage: Eukaryota; Metazoa; Chordata; Actinopteri; Cypriniformes; Cyprinidae.